RNAcentral lists this transfer RNA (72 nucleotides) under Urocitellus parryii (Arctic ground squirrel). RNAcentral's name for it is "Spermophilus parryii (Arctic ground squirrel) tRNA". It matches the Rfam family "tRNA". Rfam says of the family: Transfer RNA (tRNA) molecules are approximately 80 nucleotides in length. Lineage: Eukaryota; Metazoa; Chordata; Mammalia; Rodentia; Sciuridae. RNAcentral also lists the same sequence under 1 other name. The record is from Rfam by way of RNAcentral.
GGGGUUAUAGCUCUAUGGUAGAGCACUGUUUAGCAUGCAUGAGGCCCUGGGGUUCAAUCCCCAGUAUAUCCC